This 484-nucleotide ribosomal RNA is filed under the name uncultured bacterium. RNAcentral's name for it is "partial 16S ribosomal RNA". It matches the Rfam family "Bacterial small subunit ribosomal RNA", at positions 30 to 507 of the family's 1533-position model. The record is from RNAcentral.
AUUGAACGCUGGCGGCAGGCCUAACACAUGCAAGUCGAGCGGAUGAAGGGAGCUUGCUCCUGGAUUCAGCGGCGGACGGGUGAGUAAUGCCUAGGAAUCUGCCUGGUAGUGGGGGAUAACGUCCGGAAAGGGGCGCUAAUACCGCAUACGUCCUGAGGGGGAAAGUGGGGGAUCUUCGGACCUCACGCUAUCAGAUGAGCCUAGGUCGGAUUAGCUAGUUGGUGGGGUAAAGGCCUACAAAGGCGACGAUCCGUAACUGGUCUGAGAGGAUGAUCAGUCACACUGGAACUGAGACACGGUCCAGACUCCUACGGGAGGCAGCAGUGGGGAAUAUUGGACAAUGGGCGAAAGCCUGAUCCAGCCAUGCCGCGUGUGUGAAGAAGGUCUUCGGAUUGUAAAGCACUUUAAGUUGGGAGGAAGGGUAGUAAGUUAAUACCUUGCUGUUUUGACGUUACCAACAGAAUAAGCACCGGCUAACUUCGUG